Biomphalaria glabrata is the source of this 1253-nucleotide long non-coding RNA. RefSeq lists it as uncharacterized. NCBI's taxonomy places the organism in Eukaryota, Metazoa, Mollusca, Gastropoda, Planorbidae. The record is from RefSeq and is a predicted model, not a curated record. The transcript is spliced from 3 exons.
UCUAUAUAGGCCCCCUAUUAUAUAGAAUUUAGCUCUAGUCGACUCUAGACUAGAUCUAGGAUAAAUCUCAAGUCUAGAUGAUCACGACAUGACCAACAUGAUGAUUAAUCAUUAAUCUGACUUACUGACUUGUUAACUUAAACUUCGUCUUACUCUUAGAUCUAGCUUCUUCAUAUGUGAACCAUGAAUGAAUGGAAGUAGGGAAGUGUUUAGCUUACAGUGUCACAGAUCGUUCUUUAAACUAUUUGAAGAUCUACUUUAUCUUUACUAACGACUCUAAUCUAGAUCUAUAUCUAGUUUAUAUCUAUAUAUAAUAUAUAAAUAUUAUAAUAGCCCUAGACUCUUAUACUUAUAAGAUCUAGAAUUAGAAUCUGUAUCUAGAUCUAUUCUUAUACACUGCUAAUACACUACAGAUUUAAUGUUUCUCAUGAGCAAUACUACUGUCUACAGCCAUUGCCCAUUAACAUAGGCCCUACUCAUGUACUGGAUCUAGCUCUUUUGAUCACAACUCAUAUCUUGCCUAGAUAUAAACAACUGUACUAGAUUGAACUAGACAUUCUAAUUGGUUCUAUUUUCUUUUUUCAUUAUUCUCACACAUUCCAGUAGGUACCAAAUUGUGCUAUUUAUUCACUGUAGAUCUAGAUCUUAACUUUUCUCUUAACUACCAAAGAAGUACACAAAGGAUGUUGAAUGGUACCCAAAAGGGAUCUAGUUGCUACCAUUCAAUGUGUGGAUUCAAGUAUUUAUCCAGAUACGGCCACAAUAUGUUCUUAUUGUUUUCAAAGGAGUUUGCACACAGUGCCAGAAGCUGUAUAAAUAAAUUUAACAAUGUAUAUUUCAAGAAGAAAUGAUGCUAUUUUAUUCCUUAGAGUUUAUCAAUAGGAUGGAUGCCACAAAACUCACUUGUUAUGCCAGAAACUCUUCCUACAAAACUUCCAUACAAGAAUUUGUCCAGUGCCUGUGAUCCUCUGAGUUGAAGGAGAAUGUGCUCCAUAAUACCUACUAGGAGCUUGCUGAUAGCUGGAAGUUCAUGAAUACUAUGUUGUCCUUGAUUUGAUGAUUCUGAAAACUACCAUUUCUGAAGAGUUGAGCAUUAUUUCUAUAAUUUAAAAAAAUCUUUUCAGGAAAUAUUGUGUUUAUAAUAUUAAGAAAGUGAAGAUAAUAUUCUUCUUACUAAUAUUAUUGACUUAUUAAAAUAGAAAGCACAUCAUUACCAAUAUUCACUUGUCAAUAAAUGCAUUAUUCAAUUUUUA